RNAcentral lists this ribosomal RNA (384 nucleotides) under uncultured Thermus sp. RNAcentral describes it as "bacterial SSU rRNA". It matches the Rfam family "Bacterial small subunit ribosomal RNA", at positions 1004 to 1382 of the family's 1533-position model. The record is from RNAcentral. Lineage: Bacteria; Thermotogati; Deinococcota; Deinococci; Thermales; Thermaceae.
AAACAGUAGGGUCGAGUUCGGGCUGGAUCGGUGACAAGGUGCUGCAUGGCCGUCGUCAGCUCGUGCCGUGAGGUGUUGGGUUAAGUCCCGCAACGAGCGCAACCCCCGCCGUUAGUUGCCAGCGGUUCGGCCGGGCACUCUAACGGGACUGCCCGCGAAAAGCGGGAGGAAGGAGGGGACGACGUCUGGUCAGCAUGGCCCUUACGGCCUGGGCGACACACGUGCUACAAUGCCCACUACAAAGCGAGGCCACCCGGCAACGGGGAGCUAAUCGCAAAAAGGUGGGCCCAGUUCGGAUUGGGGUCUGCAACCCGACCCCAUGAAGCCGGAAUCGCUAGUAAUCGCGGAUCAGCCAUGCCGCGGUCGAAUACGUUCCCGGGCCUU